GUGGUGAGACAGUCCCAGCCUGCUGGGAUAGGGGCCACACACAUUCCUGAAAUAGAUUUCCUUGGGGUCAAGUUUCUCUCGAGGUGGUAUUUCGAAAGCUAAACAUGAAGGGGUAAUGAAUUACUGCUCAGGAUAAAGCCAGUCCUCAGCUAUUCACAGUUUGGGAAAUCUGGCUCGGAUGCCUGAUAAAUUCCACCAUUCACUCAGCUGCUGGAAUUUGAAGAAUCUCUCCCCAUCCUUCAGCUGGUAUUUUCUUAAAAGUAACUAUCAGGCAUUAUCAAAGGUGGGGAAUUCCCGAGGGCCCUAACAUGGCAGCUGGAUCAAAGCGGGGCCCAGAUAAGAUCGACCAUCUUCCCACCUGCGGGGAGAGGAGCGCUUCGGGCGCAUCGCAGCUGGCAGCGCCUGCCCGGAGCACCCCAGCUCCCCUGGCAGCCCAGAUCCUCCCCAGGCACAGCAGGGCACUUCCCAGCCACGCAGGAGGGAUGGCACGAGAUCUACCUACAGCCUAACACUGCAGAAGACAGCUUGUGUCUGAAGGAGAUGCUCUGAAUGCGGUUUUCCACAGCUCCUGCACAGUUUACAUUCCUUUAAACUUCCCACAAAGCUGAAAUGCCUUUAAAGUCCUCUAAAAGAUACCAGGUCUCUGAUGGUUUCUCACCAAAAGAUAGCUGAGACUUCAUGUUUCAUCUUAAAUCAAGAGAGCCUGAGUGAUUCCAUGUUUCUGCAGCAGAUGCUGAAAUCCAUCACAGAAAAGUGACACGAGAACACAAGACUCCUGCUUCCCAAUCAAGGCUGUUUGGGCAAACUUUGCAAACAUAAAUAGAUGCAUAUUCAUAUUUACACAUUCAUCUCAGUUACAGGCAAUAGCUGUGCAGAGAGGAGCUGGCACUGCCUGUUUAGAUUUCUCUUUUACUUUGAGUUUUCUAUAUGUCGACCAGGGUAAAUAAAAAAUAAAGAAUUCUGCA
This 965-nucleotide long non-coding RNA is filed under the name Junco hyemalis (dark-eyed junco). Its description in RNAcentral is "lncRNA (ENSJHYG00000001570.1)". Lineage: Eukaryota; Metazoa; Chordata; Aves; Passeriformes; Passerellidae. The record is from RNAcentral.